Molecule: ribosomal RNA, 496 nt
Filed under: uncultured bacterium
Lineage: Bacteria
Description: bacterial SSU rRNA
Rfam family: Bacterial small subunit ribosomal RNA
Source: RNAcentral
UGGGGAAUCUUGGACAAUGGGGGCAACCCUGAUCCAGCCAUGCCGCGUGAGUGAUGAAGGCCUUAGGGUCGUAAAGCUCUUUCGCCUGUGAAGAUAAUGACGGUAGCAGGUAAAGAAACCCCGGCUAACUCCGUGCCAGCAGCCGCGGUAAUACGGAGGGGGUUAGCGUUGUUCGGAAUUACUGGGCGUAAAGCGCACGUAGGCGGACCAGAAAGUUGGGGGUGAAAUCCCGGGGGCUCAACCCCGGAACUGCCUCCAAAACUAUUGGUCUAGAGUUCGAGAGAGGUGAGUGGAAUUCCAAGUGUAGAGGUGAAAUUCGUAGAUAUUUGGAGGAACACCAGUGGCGAAGGCGGCUCACUGGCUCGAUACUGACGCUGAGGUGCGAAAGUGUGGGGAGCAAACAGGAUUAGAUACCCUGGUAGUCCACACCGUAAAACGAUGGAAGCUAGCUGUCAGAAUGUAUACAUUUUGGUGGCGCAGCUAACGCAUUAAGCUU